GGAUGUGAGGGCGAUCUGGCUGCGACAUCUGUCACCCCAUUGAUCGCCAGGGUUGAUUCGGCUGAUCUGGCUGGCUAGGCGGGUGUCCCCUUCCUCCCUCGCCGCUCCAUGUGCGUCCCUCCCGAAGCUGCGCGCUCGGUGGAAGAGGAUGACCUUCCCCGAUAGAGGAGAGGACCGUUCUUCGGUCAAGGGUAUACGAGUAGCUGCACUCCCCUGCUAGAACCUCCAAACAAGCUCUCAAGGUGAGAGCUUAUCUCCACCUGCCAAGGCUUCUUCACUCUGGCGCCAGGAGACCUGAAGUUUUGGAAUCAGCGUCUGAGUCAGGCAUGCAGCUUGUUC
Unclassified non-coding RNA from Mustela putorius furo (domestic ferret), 339 nucleotides. Its record names the gene 7SK. It matches the Rfam family "7SK RNA". From Rfam's summary of the family: 7SK was discovered as an abundant small nuclear RNA in the mid-70s but a possible function has only recently been suggested. Two independent studies have found that 7SK RNA binds the CDK9/cyclin T complex (known as elongation factor P-TEFb). P-TEFb activates transcription by phosphorylating the C-terminal domain of RNA polymerase II. The record is from Ensembl. NCBI's taxonomy places the organism in Eukaryota, Metazoa, Chordata, Mammalia, Carnivora, Mustelidae.